CGCAGAAAGGUAUUGUGGUUGAGAAGUUGGUGGAAGAAACAACCAGCAAUGAUCAUCAUCUAAGACAUCUAAUUAGCAUUUGUGAAGCUCAAAGACAAGUUGGAGAAACUGCCCUAAAUGAUUCUAGCUCACGGUCACACCAAAUAAUAAGGCUGACAAUCGAGAGUACUCUGCGUGAAAUUUAUGG
This is a long non-coding RNA of Hibiscus syriacus, 187 nucleotides long. RefSeq lists it as uncharacterized. The record is from RefSeq and is a predicted model, not a curated record. NCBI's taxonomy places the organism in Eukaryota, Viridiplantae, Streptophyta, Magnoliopsida, Malvales, Malvaceae. The transcript has 3 exons.